RNAcentral lists this ribosomal RNA (232 nucleotides) under uncultured bacterium. RNAcentral's name for it is "partial 16S ribosomal RNA". It matches the Rfam family "Bacterial small subunit ribosomal RNA", at positions 99 to 334 of the family's 1533-position model. The record is from RNAcentral.
CGGACGGGUGAGUAAUGCUUGGGAAUCUAGCUUAUGGAGGGGGAUAACUACGGGAAACUGUAGCUAAUACCGCGUAAUAUCGAAAGAUUAAAGUGUGGGGCCUUCGGGCCACAUGCCAUAAGAUGAGCCCAAGUGGGAUUAGGUAGUUGGUGAGGUAAAGGCUCACCAAGCCGACGAUCUCUAGCUGGUCUGAGAGGAUGACCAGCCACACUGGGACUGAGACACGGCCCAG